RNAcentral lists this ribosomal RNA (211 nucleotides) under Conus pictus. RNAcentral describes it as "partial 12S ribosomal RNA". The record is from RNAcentral. Lineage: Eukaryota; Metazoa; Mollusca; Gastropoda; Neogastropoda; Conidae.
GUUAUAAAUUAAUUUUAAAUUUACCAGAGUACUACGAAUAAAAAAUUUAAAACUUAAAGGGCAUGGCGGUGUUUUAACCUCUCAGGGGAACCUGUCUCAUAAUCGACAAUCCACGUUAAACCUAACCCUUUAUGGUAAUUCAGCCUGUAUACCGUUGUCGUCAGGUAACUUCUUAAAAUAUAAUAGUUAGCUAGAAAAUUUUGUUAAUUAA